This 146-nucleotide unclassified non-coding RNA is filed under the name soil metagenome. RNAcentral describes it as "partial internal transcribed spacer 1". The record is from RNAcentral.
ACCGAGUUUACAACUCCCAAACCCCUGUGAACAUACCACUUGUUGCCUCGGCGGAUCAGCCCGCUCCCGGUAAAACGGGACGGCCCGCCAGAGGACCCUAAACUCUGUUUCUAUAUGUAACUUCUGAGUAAAACCAUAAAUAAUCA